GACGAACGCUGGCGGCGUGCCUAAUACAUGCAAGUAGAACGCUGAAGGAGGAGCUUGCUUCUCUGGAUGAGUUGCGAACGGGUGAGUAACGCGUAGGUAACCUGCCUGGUAGCGGGGGAUAACUAUUGGAAACGAUAGCUAAUACCGCAUAAUAGUAGAUGUUGCAUGACAUUUGCUUAAAAGGUGCAAUUGCAUCACUACCAGAUGGACCUGCGUUGUAUUAGCUAGUUGGUGAGGUAACGGCUCACCAAGGCGACGAUACAUAGCCGACCUGAGAGGGUGAUCGGCCACAAGGGGACUGAGGCACGGCCCAGGCUUCUACGGGAGGCAGCAGUAGGGAAUCUUGGGCAAUGGACGGAAGUCGGACCGAGCAACGCCGCGUGAGUGAAGAAGGUUUUCGGAUCGUAAAGCUCUGUUGUAAGAGAAGAACGAGUGUGAGAGUGGAAAGUUCACACUGUGACGGUAUCUUACCAGAAAGGGACGGCUAACUACGUG
This 495-nucleotide ribosomal RNA is filed under the name uncultured bacterium. RNAcentral's name for it is "partial 16S ribosomal RNA". It matches the Rfam family "Bacterial small subunit ribosomal RNA", at positions 28 to 507 of the family's 1533-position model. The record is from RNAcentral.